UGCGGAACUCUGCGUAGUAAAACAAACCUCGCAGCUGGGAAGCGACGGCGGCCACGCCGUGAAACACCCCACUUCUGAAAGUUGACCUCGGAUCAGGUAGGAAUACCCGCUGAACUUA
This 118-nucleotide ribosomal RNA is filed under the name Capitofimbria compacta. RNAcentral's name for it is "partial 28S ribosomal RNA". Lineage: Eukaryota; Fungi; Ascomycota; Sordariomycetes; Hypocreales; Stachybotryaceae. The record is from RNAcentral.